This 253-nucleotide ribosomal RNA is filed under the name uncultured bacterium. RNAcentral describes it as "partial 16S ribosomal RNA". It matches the Rfam family "Bacterial small subunit ribosomal RNA", at positions 524 to 776 of the family's 1533-position model. The record is from RNAcentral.
UACGUAGGACCCGAGCGUUGUCCGGAUUUACUGGGUGUAAAGGGAGCGCAGGCGGAUUUUCAAGUCGAUGGUGAAAUCUUGCGGCUCAACCGCAAAACAGCCGUCGAUACUGUUAAUCUUGAGUGUGGAAGAGAGUGGCGGAAUUCAUGGUGUAGCAGUGAAAUGCGUAGAUAUCAUGAAGAACACCGGUUGCGAAGGCGGCCACUUGGUCCAUUACUGACGCUCAUGCUCGAAAGCGUGGGGAUCAAACAGG